Molecule: small nuclear RNA, 105 nt
Organism: Tupaia belangeri (northern tree shrew)
Lineage: Eukaryota; Metazoa; Chordata; Mammalia; Scandentia; Tupaiidae
Source: Ensembl
AUGCUCGCUUCAGCAGCACAUAUACCAAAAUUGGAAUGAUAGGGAAGAUUAGCACGGCCCCUGCGCAAGGAGGACACGCCAAUUGGUGAAGUGUUCCAUGUUUUC